This 1806-nucleotide long non-coding RNA is filed under the name Pan troglodytes (chimpanzee). RNAcentral describes it as "lincRNA". The record is from RNAcentral. Lineage: Eukaryota; Metazoa; Chordata; Mammalia; Primates; Hominidae.
CAGGAGGUUUCAGGAAAACACAAGUUAUGCAGUGGGGCAGGUGAGGCUCAGCCUGUCCUGAGUGUCAUGGGAACAGCUCUGGAAGUGACUCCUCUGUCCUCUGGAAUCUGGACCAGAUGGGGGCUUCUCCAGACAUCUGUGCUCAGCAGAUGCGACAGACGGCCCCUCGAGUGUAGCCCCAGAUCCAGCACCGGCCCAAGCAGGUGGGAGCUAAGGGGAAACCGAGGCUCACAGCGAGGAAGUUGGUCAGCAAGCCCAGGCCCCUCCACCCUGCCCGCGUUUCCUGCACUGCACUGGAUCAAACCGGUUUGAUCCUUGAUAAUGCCUCCGACAAAUAUUUGAUGAGGGAGGAGGCUGAGAGAGGGGCUGUGGAACAAAUCACCACAAACUGGAGGGCCGAAAACACCAGCAAUGGGCUCCCUCUUGGUUCUGGAGCCGAGAAGGCAGAAAUCAAGGCGUCGUCAGGGUUGUUCCUUCUGGGGCCUCAGAGCAGGACUCUGUUCCCUGCCCGUCCCCAGCUCCGGUGGUUGGCGGCCUUCCUCGGCCUGUGGCCCUGCACUCCAAUCGCUGCCUCUGUUGUCACUUGGCCCCCCAUGUGCCUCUGUGUCUCAGAAGGACACAAGUCAUAUUGAAUUAAGGACCCUCCCUACCCCAGCAUGACCCCGUUUUAACUUAGAACUUUCACAAUGAUCUGAUUUGCAAAGAAGGCUGGAUUCUGAGGUCCUGGGAAGGACAUGAAUUUUGGGGGAUGCUGUUCACCUCAGUACACCGGUGCAGAGUUCGGUGACACCGCCAAGUUGCUUGACGGUGAGCAGCCUGGCAUUGUAGAAAGGCAGAGGUUGACUUUAGUUUGGUCCCUGGCUUUGUCCUUUAUUUGUUCUGUGACACCUUGGAUGAGUUUUGUGACCCGAGUGUCAGUUUCCUAGGAACCAGUGACAAUGAUCAGAGAUAGGGGGACUCAAGGGUAAGUAAAGUGCAGGAUGAACUGCAGCGGAGCGUGUGAGGUGCCUGGCAGGUGUCGGCCACCCAGUGGCGCUCGAAGCACCUGCUGCUCCCUCCUUCGUCGCUCCCAGCUGCCUUCUCUGCCGGGCGCUCUUUGGAGAGGAGCUGUGUGACUGGUUCAUCCUGUCCCUCGAGGAGCUACCAGUUCAGUCAAGGACAUUGAGAAGCAGCAGAUGGUGACAGUGCAGUGUGACAGUGGUGUGCUGUGGGAGCCCCAUGGAGCAGCUACCCAGGCAGGAACGUCAGGGAGGCUUCCUGGAGGAGGUGGUGCUUCAGAUGAGACUUGAAGGAGCAGAAGGUGUUUGCUAGACAAAGGGGCUUGCUUGGAUGAAUGGUCUUCAGAGCGUGGUCCCAGUAAGGAAGGAGACCACUACUACUCUUGCUGCCCUCCUCCCCCAACCUUGCCUAGUUUACAAGACAGGAGGAAAGAGAGAAAGCAAAAAGUUAGAAAAAAAAAAAACAGAAGUAAGAUAAAUAGCCAGAAGACCUUGGCACCACCACCUGGCCCUGGUAGUUAAAAAAAGUAAUAAUAAUAAUAUCGACCCCUGACUUAAACUACUUGUAUUAUCUGUAAAUUCCAGACAUUGUAGGAAAAAGCAUUGCAAAAUUUUCUGUUCUGCUAGCUGAUGCAUGUAGCCCCCGGUCACGUUCCCCAUACUUGUUGGAUUUAUCAUGACCCUUUCACGUGGGCCCCUUAGAGGUGUAAGCCCUUAAAAGGGCCAAGAAUUUCUUUUUCAGGGAGCUCGGCUCUUAAGAUGCAAGUCUGCUGAUGCUCCCGGCUGAAUAAACCUCUUCCUUCUUUAA